This 566-nucleotide ribosomal RNA is filed under the name uncultured bacterium. RNAcentral describes it as "bacterial SSU rRNA". It matches the Rfam family "Bacterial small subunit ribosomal RNA", at positions 185 to 769 of the family's 1533-position model. The record is from RNAcentral.
AUCGCAUGAUCCGGUGUGAAAAACUCCGGUGGUAUGGGAUGGACCCGCGUCUGAUUAGCCAGUUGGCAGGGUAACGGCCUACCAAAGCGACGAUCAGUAGCCGACCUGAGAGGGUGACCGGCCACAUUGGGACUGAGACACGGCCCAAACUCCUACGGGAGGCAGCAGUGGGGAAUAUUGCACAAUGGGGGAAACCCUGAUGCAGCGACGCCGCGUGAGCGAAGAAGUAUUUCGGUAUGUAAAGCUCUAUCAGCAGGGAAGAAGAAUGACGGUACCUGACUAAGAAGCACCGGCUAAAUACGUGCCAGCAGCCGCGGUAAUACGUAUGGUGCAAGCGUUAUCCGGAUUUACUGGGUGUAAAGGGAGCGCAGGCGGUGCGGCAAGUCUGAUGUGAAAGCCCGGGGCUCAACCCCGGUACUGCAUUGGAAACUGUCGUACUAGAGUGUCGGAGGGGUAAGUGGAAUUCCUAGUGUAGCGGUGAAAUGCGUAGAUAUUAGGAGGAACACCAGUGGCGAAGGCGGCUUACUGGACGAUAACUGACGCUGAGGCUCGAAAGCGUGGGGAGC